This 429-nucleotide ribosomal RNA is filed under the name uncultured bacterium. Its description in RNAcentral is "bacterial SSU rRNA". It matches the Rfam family "Bacterial small subunit ribosomal RNA", at positions 42 to 471 of the family's 1533-position model. The record is from RNAcentral.
UCAGGCCUAACACAUGCAAGUCGAACGGUAACGCGGGGCAACCUGGCGACGAGUGGCGAACGGGUGAGUAAAGCAUCGGAACGUGCCCAGUAGUGGGGGAUAGCCCGGCGAAAGCCGGAUUAAUACCGCAUACGACCUAUGGGUGAAAGCGGGGGACCGAAAGGCCUCGCGCUAUUGGAGCGGCCGAUGUCAGAUUAGGUAGUUGGUGGGGUAAAGGCUCACCAAGCCGACGAUCUGUAGCUGGUCUGAGAGGAUGACCAGCCACACUGGGACUGAGACACGGCCCAGACUCCUACGGGAGGCAGCAGUGGGGAAUUUUGGACAAUGGGGGCAACCCUGAUCCAGCCAUGCCGCGUGCGGGAAGAAGGCCUUCGGGAUGUAAACCGCAUUUGUCAGGGAAGAAAUCCUUUGGGUUAAUACCUCGGGGGG